Molecule: ribosomal RNA, 162 nt
Filed under: Muscari racemosum
Lineage: Eukaryota; Viridiplantae; Streptophyta; Magnoliopsida; Asparagales; Asparagaceae
Description: 5.8S ribosomal RNA
Rfam family: 5.8S ribosomal RNA
About the family: 5.8S ribosomal RNA (5.8S rRNA) is a component of the large subunit of the eukaryotic ribosome. It is transcribed by RNA polymerase I as part of the 45S precursor that also contains 18S and 28S rRNA.
Source: RNAcentral
UUUACGACUCUCAGUAACGGAUAUCUUGGCUCUCGCAUCAUUGAAGAACAUAGCAAAAUGCGAUACUUGGUGUGAAUUGUAGAAUCCCAUGAACCAUCGGGUCUUUGAACACAAGUUGCACCCGAGGCCACCACGGCCAAGGGCCUUCCUGCCUAGGCGUCA